GAUGAACGCUGGCGGCGUGCCUAAUACAUGCAAGUCGAGCGAACAGACGAGGAGCUUGCUCCUCUGACGUUAGCGGCGGACGGGUGAGUAACACGUGGAUAACCUACCUAUAAGACUGGGAUAACUUCGGGAAACCGGAGCUAAUACCGGAUAAUAUAUUGAACCGCAUGGUUCAAUAGUGAAAGACGGUUUUGCUGUCACUUAUAGAUGGAUCCGCGCCGCAUUAGCUAGUUGGUAAGUUAACGGCUUACCAAGGCAACGAUGCGUAGCCGACCUGAGAGGGUGAUCGGCCACACUGGAACUGAGACACGGUCCAGACUCCUACGGGAGGCAGCAGUAGGGAAUCUUCCGCAAUGGGCGAAAGCCUGACGGAGCAACGCCGCGUGAGUGAUGAAGGUCUUCGGAUCGUAAAACUCUGUUAUUAGGGAAGAACAAAUGUGUAAGUAACUAUGCACGUCUUGACGGUACCGAAUCAGAAAGCCACGGCUAACUACGUG
RNAcentral lists this ribosomal RNA (497 nucleotides) under uncultured bacterium. RNAcentral describes it as "partial 16S ribosomal RNA". It matches the Rfam family "Bacterial small subunit ribosomal RNA", at positions 28 to 507 of the family's 1533-position model. The record is from RNAcentral.